GGGGGCGACCUGGUUUCGACGUGGGUUGCGAACCCCUUCGUGCAUGCCGAGGUGCAGGUAACCUCGUUAAACCACUUGCAAACCUUAUAGUUGCCAACGACGACAACUACGCUCUCGCCGCCUAAAAACCGGCUCUGAGCCAUCGGACUGGGCCCGUGCCUGUGCGGACCAGACCCCGGUGUAACCCAGCACAGGAUCGCGUGCGGGCCUGUCCGGGGUCCAAUCGUUAAAGACCACCUUCGGACUGGCUGUCAGUCUUCCCUGCCCGUCGGGUAGCUGCCAGCAAGAUCAAAGACGGGAUAAGCAUGUAGAGCGCAGGGCAGAGGACUUGCGGACGCGGGUUCGAUUCCCGCCGCCUCCACCA
Molecule: transfer-messenger RNA, 364 nt
Filed under: Gammaproteobacteria (g-proteobacteria)
Lineage: Bacteria; Pseudomonadati; Pseudomonadota
Also listed under: 1 other name
Description: SHZI01 sp016789885 Standard tmRNA
Rfam family: transfer-messenger RNA
About the family: Bacterial tmRNA, also known as 10Sa RNA or SsrA, is named for its dual tRNA and mRNA-like properties. Its role is to liberate the mRNA from a stalled ribosome.
Source: RNAcentral